RNAcentral lists this ribosomal RNA (592 nucleotides) under Escherichia coli. RNAcentral's name for it is "partial 23S ribosomal RNA". It matches the Rfam family "Bacterial large subunit ribosomal RNA", at positions 1292 to 1869 of the family's 2925-position model. Lineage: Bacteria; Pseudomonadati; Pseudomonadota; Gammaproteobacteria; Enterobacterales; Enterobacteriaceae. The record is from RNAcentral.
GAAUGCUGACAUAAGUAACGAUAAAGCGGGUGAAAAGCCCGCUCGCCGGAAGACCAAGGGUUCCUGUCCAACGUUAAUCGGGGCAGGGUGAGUCGACCCCUAAGGCGAGGCCGAAAGGCGUAGUCGAUGGGAAACAGGUUAAUAUUCCUGUACUUGGUGUUACUGCGAAGGGGGGACGGAGAAGGCUAUGUUGGCCGGGCGACGGUUGUCCCGGUUUAAGCGUGUAGGCUGGUUUUCCAGGCAAAUCCGGAAAAUCAAGGCUGAGGCGUGAUGACGAGGCACUACGGUGCUGAAGCAACAAAUGCCCUGCUUCCAGGAAAAGCCUCUAAGCAUCAGGUAACAUCAAAUCGUACCCCAAACCGACACAGGUGGUCAGGUAGAGAAUACCAAGGCGCUUGAGAGAACUCGGGUGAAGGAACUAGGCAAAAUGGUGCCGUAACUUCGGGAGAAGGCACGCUGAUAUGUAGGUGAAGUCCCUCGCGGAUGGAGCUGAAAUCAGUCGAAGAUACCAGCUGGCUGCAACUGUUUAUUAAAAACACAGCACUGUGCAAACACGAAAGUGGACGUAUACGGUGUGACGCCUGCCCGGUGC